UUGAAUAAGGAACGCUGCAACAGGUUAUUCACCUGCUAGGCUUAUUCACGUCGAGAUUUUUAAACUGCGUUCAUUAUUA
This 79-nucleotide non-coding RNA is filed under the name Methylophaga thiooxydans. RNAcentral's name for it is "SAH sequence". It matches the Rfam family "SAH (S-adenosyl-L-homocysteine) riboswitch aptamer". Lineage: Bacteria; Pseudomonadati; Pseudomonadota; Gammaproteobacteria; Thiotrichales; Piscirickettsiaceae. RNAcentral also lists the same sequence under 1 other name. The record is from RNAcentral.